This 852-nucleotide ribosomal RNA is filed under the name uncultured Gammaproteobacteria bacterium. RNAcentral describes it as "bacterial SSU rRNA". It matches the Rfam family "Bacterial small subunit ribosomal RNA", at positions 8 to 863 of the family's 1533-position model. The record is from RNAcentral. Lineage: Bacteria; Pseudomonadati; Pseudomonadota; Gammaproteobacteria.
AGAGUUUGAUCCUGGCUCAGAUUGAACGCUGGCGGCAUGCCUAACACAUGCAAGUCGAACGGGUUGUACUUCGGUACAGCUAGUGGCGGACGGGUGAGUAACACAUAGGAAUCUGCCCGAGAGUGGGGGAUAACCCAGGGAAACUUGGAUUAAUACCGCAUGAUCUCUACGGAGCAAAGCUGGGGACCUUCGGGCCUGGCGCUUUUGGAGGAGCCUAUGUCUGAUUAGCUUGUUGGUGAGGUAACGGCUCACCAAGGCGACGAUCAGUAACUGGUCUGAGAGGACGACCAGUCACACCGGAACUGAGACACGGUCCGGACUCCUACGGGAGGCAGCAGUGGGGAAUAUUGGACAAUGGGCGAAAGCCUGAUCCAGCAAUGCCGCGUGUGUGAAGAAGGCCUUCGGGUUGUAAAGCACUUUAGGAUGGAAAGAAAAAACUUCAGUUAAUAGCUGAAGUCUUGACGGUACCAUCAGAAUAAGCACCGGCUAACUCUGUGCCAGCAGCCGCGGUAAUACAGAGGGUGCAAGCGUUAAUCGGAUUUACUGGGCGUAAAGCGUGUGUAGGUGGUGGCGUAAGUCGAUUGUGAAAUCCCCGGGCUCAACCUGGGAACUGCUUUCGAUACUGCGUCACUAGAGUACGGUAGAGGGUGGUGGAAUUUCCGGUGUAGCGGUGAAAUGCGUAGAUAUCGGAAGGAACAUCAAUGGCGAAAGCAACCACCUGGGCCUGUACUAACACUGAGACACGAAAGCGUGGGGAUCAAACAGGAUUAGAUACCCUGGUAGUCCACGCCGUAACGAUGACAACUUGACGUUGGUUUGCUUAGCGAAUCAGUGUCGUAGCUAACGCGAUAA